Molecule: long non-coding RNA, 4979 nt
Filed under: Oryzias sinensis (Chinese medaka)
Lineage: Eukaryota; Metazoa; Chordata; Actinopteri; Beloniformes; Adrianichthyidae
Description: lncRNA (ENSOSIG00000015559.1)
Source: RNAcentral
AUGUCAACAGACAGCAACAUGAGUCCUGCAAUAACACAUAAAAGGCCCCGGAGGCAUAAACACAGCCAUUCUGGUCAGCAGGAUUGCAAACCCACAGAUGUCUUCAGUGACGACACUUGCAUGCCUCUCACUUUCGCCAACCAGAUGUGCCACGGGGACAACAAGGUGAGGGGGGCCACGCUCCCUCGGAUGGGCUCUGGGGAGUCCCGGGGUAGACGAGGAAGCACUGGGACUCACAGGGUCAGGGAAGGUACAUUUGAGCAGAGCAAAGGCCAGGACAAGCACAAGAUUUCAUCAGCAGUGAAAGGAAACAACAAAAACCGACAGCACUCAGGUAGGAGAUACAAUUUUCCUCAGAUUUUUUAUUUUGAGGUUUUUAUGAUAGACGAAAUAUUAAACUAGACACUGGGCAUGUGACCACAAUAUACAGUAUAUACGUAUAUAGCCCAUGGUGUUGACACUGUUAUUCACACUGGACAAGCAGGGAGGGGCUUCUUCUGGUUUGAUUCAAUUAAAUUCAAUUUUAUUUUUAAUAGCCUAACAACAACAUACUUGUGUCAAAGGGCUUCAUACUGGUAAUUGUAUAAGAACAUGAAAUCAGUCAUAAAAUACAAUACGUAAUCGCUAAACUAAACUGACUAAGCCAAAUUGGGCAUCCCUGCCCUUAGACCAGGGGUGUCAAAAUUUGGCUGGUUUUCCAGAAAUCCUGCCUUAUCUGCUGCCGAUUACCUGUAUCAGGUGUGGUUAGCCAAUAAGGAGCUUCAAUGGUAGGCUGGUUUUCCAACCACUGUUGAGACCUUUGACCCUCGAGGCCUGGAUUCUGACACCCCUGCCUUAGACCCUUCUUCUACUGCCUACUAGCGCAUGUUUGCCACCUACAGUUGGGAGAAGCUUGUUGCAAAAUGUCAAAGCAGUGCAAAUUUCGUGUAUAUUGCUCCAGGCUUUUUCUUUCACAGUUCCAUUAAGAAAUAUGAAAAACUUGGUAUCACAUAAUUCCAGCUGAGCAUAAACCGCAAUUAUUAAUUUCUCCUUCGUGAUCAAUUUUCAAACGGUGGCACUUUCGUAAAUCAAAAGGGAUGCCAUCUAUACAUCACUAUCACAUCAAAGUGCUUUAGUGGUCAAAGUUCUUCCUGGUUUAAGUUUAACACAUGUUCAAUGGCCAUGCAUUUUGUACGUAGAUAUGGAGUCAAAUCGGGGUCAUAAAGAUAUGAAACCCAAAUAAACAACUUGAAGAAAAAAAAAGGCGGAAGUAUUGGAGUUAAGCUUAAGUUACACUUAAUUGUUUUCAGCUUCAUUCUUAUUGGUCCUUUAUCUAAGCCCCGCCCCUGCGUUCCAGAAAGUGGCAGUCUCAAACCUGAAAUUUUCCGAAUUGAAACGGAUAAAAAAGUAAAAAAAUAAAAAAAGACAUUAUGAAACUGAAAUUUUGAGGUAUGAAACUUGCUAAAAGUUUAAAGAGUUUUUAGCUGAACCCCAAUAUUUCAGCUUGAAUUUUUCAAGUUUGACUCCAUACGUAGAGCCCAAAAUCUGUAGUAGAACCUUGCAUUGCUAUGUAUGGGUGUGUGUUUAUGACUAAACGCCACAGACACGUGGAUCACUGAAUGCUUGGAGCUUUACAACACCAACCAAUAAUCACUCAAUAUCAAAUCCGAGACUCUGGUUAGUUUAACAAGGUUUAACUUGCAACACCUGUUUAAUGGCCGCAUGUUUUGUAUGUAGAGCCCAAAAUUGGUCAUGGGAACGUGUGUAGCUAUGUGUGAACACAAUAUAUUUGAACAGGGGAGCCUGAAAUGUGCCUUGAGAUAGACUUUUCUUGUUGUCGAGGGCUGUGUCAACGUGGCAUUACUUUACGUUUAUGUCUAUUGUGUCUUUUUAGAAUUUGCCGACGUUCCUCUGUAUAGUCGUCCUUCUUUUCCACCAGGUCAUAGAGAGCUGGGCUCUAAUGCGUUGAGCUUUCAGUCAUGUGGGAACUCAAGGACCAAACCUGCAGAGCUGAAGACCCCUACAGUACAGGUGGAAGAGGUAAAUGGGACUUCAGCGUAAAAAUCAAGGCAGAUUGUCUUAUCCCUUUGACUAAAAACUAAUUAAUGGUUUUUAUUCCUAUAUUUUCACAGUUCCUGAAAAGCCAAGAAGCACUGUGAGUUGGUGAGAAACGUCCCAUUAAUGCUACAAGCGACUGAGACUUUUGCAAAAAAAAAACAAAAAAAAAAAGGACAAGAAAUUCUGCACAAAACCAUUUUCUACUUGGGAUUUCCCUCUGUGUUGGAAAAAAUAUGGAAAAAAAUCUUUAAGUCUCUGGACUUCUUUGUUGUGUGCUUUCUUUGUAUUUUUUUCCCUCAAGGACUCUGACCUGCUGGUGGUUGAACGGAGUACAGAUAAUGCAAAUUAGUUGUGGAUGUUUCACUAAAAUAUUGCUUCUGAAAACUGCUUGAUGCAGUUAAUUUGUCUUUUGUUUGUUGUCUUAUUAUAUUACUGUAAAACAGUCAUUUCCAGACAUGUUGUAAAUUGUUUACUGCCACAGAAGUGCUUCAAAUUUUAUAAAAGUGUUGAUGUUUUCUACGUGGUGUACAUCUAGUCUUUGUAUUAUUUGUUCUACUUGGUUAAAAAAAGCACAAUCAGUUACUUUUGUUGUACGGAUACGUUUUUGCUCGGGAGAAAAUCGGUUGUUUAUGAAGCUUUUAAUGCAUAAGACAAAGAUUGUUCAGUGAGUUUGUGCAUUCAGUUGCAUAUAUUUGAGCUGCUUUCAUACUUGUUUAAACCCUCUGUUAUGUGUAUCUUGACAACUGCAUGCAAUUUCAAAAGAAAGGUUCUUUUUCUAUCAUCUUCGGUGCUUUGCCUUCCGUUUAGAAUUAUAAAAAAGAAAACAAAUAAGGAAAAUGGUCUGAUUGCUUUUCUGUGUCAGCUUUUCUGCAACACUUGAAUUCAGCUAAAUAAAUGAUGGAGGAGUGCUGGAAAAUAUUUUGGAGACAACAAUUGUGAUUUAAUGAAUCAAAAGAAUCCAACAUGGUCAUUUCAUAAGACUUGCAAACUGUAUCUGCAAAAUUAAAAAUCAACCAGUACUUCAAGCAAAAAUGAAAUAAAAUAUCAUCUCUGAGGCUAAAGUCCUGCUUUUUAUCAUAACUGAUUGACUUCAGAAUAAAUAUUUAAAGACUAAACCUAAGAAAAUUCUGUCUUGUUUCUCUAUCUGUCUGUACACUACCAUAAUAUUUGAAAAAAAAAAAAAACAAAUGGGUUUAGUCAUAAUUCUUCUGUACUCUACACCUUGCAGCCUUGAAAAAUAUCCAUACUAACAAAAAGGAACUGGUAGUUUCCUCUAAAUGUAUAAAGUUUUGCUCUUUUAGAAAUCUCCAAUAUGUUAAAUUAGGUGUUUGUAUGUUAUCUAAUAGGAAUACCACAAAAGUAUCAAACUUCUUUACUAUAACAAAAACAAAUUCAUCACAGCAGCAGAAACACUGAAUGGGGCUAAAAUGGGCUCGAAAACUAAAACAGGAGUCGGGAAUAUCCAAAUGUUUUUGUUCACCUUUCAGCAUAUCCCUUCAUGGGUCACCACAGUGAAUCAGCUUUGAACAGGUGAUUUGGUAGAGAAUUUAACACCUGAUGCCCUUCCUGACACAAACCUGUAUUUUAUCCGGCCUUGUGGGCCUCUUUAUAGUAAGGCAGUAGCAUGAAGGCCCCUUGCCCAAGGACCCACACUGGAGGAAGCUCAUCAUGCCCCUGGGAAGUGAACCCUAGUUUCCCAUGCGCCAGUCCUACAUGCAUCCAACUUAGGGCUGCACGAUAUGAGGAAAACUCGCGAUAUGCGAAAUUAGAGAUUAAAAUUGCGAUAAAGAUAUAAUUUGCAGUAUAUAAACAAUUAGCAAAAUAACCAAAUAACCAUUCCCAUUACAUUGCAACAGUUUAAAAAUUAUACUCCAAAUGUCACUCGUCGACAUAGGUGACAAACAUCUGACAUAAUAGGCGUCCAUCCGAUUGGUCAAAUGCAUAAAGGGAUUUAUUUGAUUCGUUAAAUGGUUCAAGCUGACAUAAGAUUGUUUUAGCAUAUUUAAGGUUUACGAUUUAUUGUGAUAUUUGCAGUCUUAUGCGAUAUGCAUAUUGCAGAGCUGGAUUUUGCGAUAACGAUAAAUUUGCGGUAUAUUGUGCAGGCCUAAUCCAAUUGAUGUUCAGCUGCUCGUUGAUAUCCAAAAGAACUUGUGAAACUAUUAUGGGAUGGCCACAGGACCUACAGCUUGGUAGCCAUUGGUCAAAGUGAGAAAUUUGACGAUUUUCACACAAUAUUGGAAAAGAAAAUAAGUAAUCUACACAGCCUUUUAUACACAUGCCACAAUGUUAAGUCUGCAACCCCAACAACGUUGCGAUGACUUUUGACCUAAAAAAAAGGCUGAUCUGUGUUUUUUAAAAACAUUACCUUUAGGACCAGCUGCAAAUUUAAACUCUUCCUGGGAAUUUUGAUCUAUAACCUUCUAACUUCUCCAGCAUCAUUAGGAAGCUUUUUGUGAAAGAAAAAACAAAAAAAAAAGGAUUUAUAAGUUGUAAAUCCUGAAUGGCCUUAGUGUGGCUAGCUCGCAAAAGUGGUGUUCCCUUGUUGCUCACACAAAUUUACCCAAAAUAUUGUUAAAAGUUAAUACAUGAAUCCAUGGCUCAAGCUGAACGAAAUGAUAUAGCAUACGAUAUUUUUUGAUUUGAUUUGAAAUGGUUUAUUUCAAGCAAUCAAAUAGGAGUAAUACACAAAAGCAAUAUAAUCAUCAGUUAUACAUUCAUACAGUAACUAAUCAAACUUAGGAUAAUUAGACAUAAUUAAUAAAAAUUGCUUGAAAGGGAGUGGAAAGAAGCGAACUUAUAUAAUCCCACCCCGUUAUACUAUAACCAUUUUAUUUCAUGAUUUAUCAAUAUCCGGUUCCUAGGUUUUAUCAGACAGAAUUAAGAAUCAUAAGGUAUCAAUAAAGCAAAAGCCAAAGAUGAAUUACUUAAGUACUACGUCAAAA